GUUUCACUUGCUCCCAAAAAGGAAGGCAAGUUUUCCUGCUUCCAUGAUGAAGAGUGCAGGUAACUCCUUUCUGGAAUUUCAGCUCACUUCCAACAGGGAAGGCGAGUUUGAGUUUUUUCCUGCUUCAAAGAUGGUAGAGAGCAGUGUUCAGCCUGAGCCCCAUUCCUAGAUUCUGAAGGAAACAGACAGCACAACAACAACAGCCUCUCUCAGUCCUCACCCAAAUCUUUCUUCUGAAAUUGGAUGCUGAUGGCCACCAAACACGUUUUUAAAAGACCAGUGCAGUUUGAAGAACAGAGUCUUACUCCGUUGCCCAGGCUGGAGUACAAUGGUGCGAUCUUUGCUCACUGCAACAUCCACCUCAUGGGCUCAAGCGAUUCUCCUGCCUCAGCCUCCUGAGUAGCUGGGACUACAGAUGUAGGCGAAUAACAUGAACAUUGCUUCAUCUUUGUUCCACAAGUUUCUGAGACAGCACCGGUAGGUAUGGGUCUCCCUCCCACUGGGCUGUGGCCGCAAAGCGAGCAUCUUUCUCCUGGGCGCCCCAUGCCUCCUCCAGCACCUGGCAUGUAGUAUAAGCUCAAUGAGUGUUCAUUGUAUGAACGAGUGAGUCAAUGGCUGAGCAUUCGUGAGGCUGGAAAAUUUAAUCUUCCCGAUUUAGUCUGAUAAAUGGAUUCCAUUUUAUGCUCGGAGAGCAAGGGCCUCAAAAGGUGUAACCAAGAGCAGAGGUCAGCAAACUGCAGCCUUUGAACGAAAUCCGGCCCAGAAGUGAAAACAUUUUUAGAUGAACAUUGGCAAUGGAUUUGCUGAUACAGAACACUAACUUUAAAUUCCAACCAAGCAGAAUGUUAGCACCUCCAAAAAUGAUUCCAUUCUUCUCAUUAUUAAACCUAUACUACAAAAAAACUGCCUUCGAUUAUUAUUAUUACAUUUUGAGUUUCAUCAAUUACAUAAUUGUGGAAAUUUUUAUUUUACUAUAUAAGUAGCUACAUAAUAUGCCAAAUUUGCUUCUUGGCCUGUAAAACCUAAGAUAUUUGCCAUCUGGCCCUUUACAGAAAAAGUUUGCUGACCCCUGGCCACAAGAAUAAAGUUUAGAACGGGAUGUGAUAUGUUUCAUCUUGCCUUACACCCCAGGAGUGGGAGAAAACCAAAUUGGCAGCAGGGUGGGCAGAGAUGACAUCCAUAUAUAAAUGGACUGUGGAACACCUUGUUAUGAAGGAAGGCCUGUCAGCAGUCAAAGAAUGGCUUGGGUGGGUAUACCUAGAUGGACCUCUAAAGAUCACACCCUAAGGGAAUUCAAGACCUGGUGCAUGGUUUGAGAGGUGAUUCCUGUGACAUCAGAGAGUGCAGCCUGGGCCUUCAUGGGCAAACCAAAAACAUUUGUGAUUGUAAACCCAAAGGCCUCGGCUGGCCGCAUCCAAGUCUCUUGGUUUCCCUCCAAACAUUUGCUUGGAAAUAAAGUAAAGAAAGUAAGUAAGAAUGGAUCGAGUGCAGUGGCUCACACCUGUAAUUCCAGCACUUUGUAGAGGCCGAGGCAGGAGGAUCACUUGUGCUCAGGGGUUUGAGACCAACCCG
Molecule: long non-coding RNA, 1572 nt
Filed under: Homo sapiens (human)
Lineage: Eukaryota; Metazoa; Chordata; Mammalia; Primates; Hominidae
Description: HSALNT0280242
Source: RNAcentral